CGCAGCCGCGGUAAUUCCAGCUCCAAUAGCGUAUAUUAAAGUUGUUGCAGUUAAAAAGCUCGUAGUUGAAUUUCGGGAUCAAUACGUCUGUCGUGCCUUUGGUACGUACGGGUGUAAUUGGUUUCUACCUUCUGAGGAUCCUUGAUGUCAUUAAUUUGGUGUCUUGGGGAAUCAGGACUGUUACCUUGAAAAAAUUAGAGUGUUUAAAGCAGGCAUACGCUUGAAUACAUUAGCAUGGAAUAAUGAAAUAGGACGUUCGAUUCUAUUUUGUUGGUUUCUAGGAUCGACGUAAUGAUUAAUAGGGAUAGUUGGGGGCAUUAGUAUUCAAUUGUCAGAGGUGAAAUUCUUGGAUUUAUUGAAGACUAACUACUGCGAAAGCAUUUGCCAAGGAUGUUUUCAUUAAUCAAGAACGAAAGUUAGGGGAUCGAAGACGAUCAGAUACCGUCGUAGUCUUAACCAUAAACUAUGCCGACUAGGGAUCGGAUGAUGUUAAUUUUUAAUGUACUCAUUCGGCGCCUUA
RNAcentral lists this ribosomal RNA (520 nucleotides) under uncultured Glomus. RNAcentral describes it as "SSU rRNA". It matches the Rfam family "Eukaryotic small subunit ribosomal RNA", at positions 569 to 1090 of the family's 1831-position model. The record is from RNAcentral. Lineage: Eukaryota; Fungi; Glomeromycota; Glomeromycetes; Glomerales; Glomeraceae.